GCCUGGCUAGCUCAGUCGGUAGAGCAUGAGACUCAAUCUCAGGGUUGUGGGUUCAUGCCCCACGUUGGGCG
This 71-nucleotide transfer RNA is filed under the name Erinaceus europaeus (western European hedgehog). RNAcentral describes it as "tRNA-Sup (TCA) (tRNA-Sup-TCA-1-1)". It matches the Rfam family "tRNA". Rfam says of the family: Transfer RNA (tRNA) molecules are approximately 80 nucleotides in length. Their secondary structure includes four short double-helical elements and three loops (D, anti-codon, and T loops). The record is from Rfam by way of RNAcentral. Lineage: Eukaryota; Metazoa; Chordata; Mammalia; Eulipotyphla; Erinaceidae.